AGUUGAGCGGAGAUAUAUGGAGCUUGCUUUAUAUAACUUAGCAGCGAACGGGUGAGUAACACGUAGAUAAUCUAUCCUAUACUGGGGGAUAGCCCGAUGAAAGUUGGAUUAAUACCGCAUAUAGCUAUAUAGUUGCAUGAUUAUGUAGUGAAAGAUUUAUUGGUAUAGGAGGAGUCUGCGGCACAUUAGCUAGUAGGUGAGGUAAAGGCUUACCUAGGCGACGAUGUGUAGCCGGUCUGAGAGGAUGAACGGCCACAAUGGAACUGAGACACGGUCCAUACUCCUACGGGAGGCAGCAGUGGGGAAUAUUGCACAAUGGGGGAAACCCUGAUGCAGCAACGCCGCGUGAGUGAAGAAGGUUUUCGGAUUGUAAAGCUCUGUUAGCAGGGAAGAGGAAGGACGGUACCUGCAGAGGAAGCCACGGCUAACUACGUGCCAGCAGCCGCGGUAAUACGUAGGUGGCAAGCGUUGUUCGGAAUAACUGGGCGUAAAGGAUGCGUAGGCGGUUAAACAAGUUAUAUGUUAAAUAUAUGGGCUUAACCUGUAGAAAGCAUAUAAAACUGUUUAACUAGAGUGCAGGAGAGGUAAGUGGAAUUCCUAGUGUAGCGGUGAAAUGCGUAGAGAUUAGGAAGAACACCAGUGGCGAAGGCGACUUACUGGACUGUAACUGACGCUGAGGCAUGAGAGCAUGGGGAGCAAACAGGAUUAGAUACCCUGGUAGUCCAUGCUGUAAACGAUGGGUACUAGGUGUGGGUUGUGAAUAACAAUUCGUGCCGUCGCAAACGCAAUAAGUACCCCG
This 799-nucleotide ribosomal RNA is filed under the name uncultured bacterium. RNAcentral describes it as "bacterial SSU rRNA". It matches the Rfam family "Bacterial small subunit ribosomal RNA", at positions 60 to 871 of the family's 1533-position model. The record is from RNAcentral.